GUGCUUGAUUCAGCAGCAUGUACACUGAAAAUGGAACAAUAUGGAGAAGAUGAGCAUGGCCCCUGCGCAAACAGGACACUCAGAUCUGUGAAAUGUUCCAUAUUUUU
Trichosurus vulpecula (common brushtail) is the source of this 107-nucleotide small nuclear RNA. The record is from RefSeq and is a predicted model, not a curated record. Lineage: Eukaryota; Metazoa; Chordata; Mammalia; Diprotodontia; Phalangeridae.